RNAcentral lists this ribosomal RNA (1503 nucleotides) under Triticum aestivum (bread wheat). RNAcentral's name for it is "partial small subunit ribosomal RNA". Lineage: Eukaryota; Viridiplantae; Streptophyta; Magnoliopsida; Poales; Poaceae. The record is from RNAcentral.
AUGUUCAGCAAGAAUACCCCCUCUCAAGAAAAUAAAGAAGUUAUGAGCGCCCUCCAAGUGAGUAAUGAGACCAGAUCAGAAAAGUAUUUGGGGCUACCGGUCUUUAUUGGAAAAUCAAAAAGUAAGGUUUUUCAAUACCUGAAGGAGAGAAUAUGGAGGAAAAUUCAGGGAUGGAAAGAGAGAAUGUUAUCAUGUGCAGGAAAGGAAAUCCUCAUAAAAGUGGUUGCACAAGCGAUCCCUAUUUAUGCUAUGGCAUGUUUCGACAUAACUAAGUCCCUAUGUGAUCAGAUAAGCGCAAUGAUAUGCCGAUAUUGGUGGAGCCAAAUGGACAAGGAAAACAAAAUUCAUUGGAUAAGUUGGGAGAAACUUGUCUUGCCAAAGAGGGAAGGUGGAUUAGGAUUUAGGGAUCUCCAUUGUUUCAACCUCGCGAUGUUAGCAAAACAGGCAUGGAGACUCAUUCAGAAUCCUAACUCAUUAUGUGCUCAAGUCUUAGCUGCAAAGUAUUUCCCCCAUGGGCAAAUUCUGAAGGCAACAACUAUGAAGCGCAUGUCAUACUCCUGGCGAAGUAUCUUGAAGGGGGUCAAGGUGCUUAAUGAGGGUGUUAUUUGGCGAGUGGGAAAUGGCUUAAACAUAAACAUUUGGAAUGAUCCAUGGCUACUGCGAAGCUCAACGAGGAGGCCAAUCACAGUAAGAGGAAGAAACAUGUUACUAUACAAAGUAUCUGAACUCAUAAACCCUGUGACCGGAAGCUGGGAUGAAGAAUUAGUCUAUCAAACCUUCUGCAAUGAAGAUGCCAAUCUCAUUAUGCAGCUGCAAGUAAAUGAGUCAGCGGAUGACAAUUUAGCUUGGCAUUAUGACAAGAAGGGCCUCUUCACAGUAAAGUCUGCAUACAAGGUGGCAAUGGACGGUGAAGCCAAACAUACAACUAGUGGGGUCCAAUCAGGCUCAAAAAGUACAUCAAAUAGUCUCAGUUUUGAUUGGAUGAAAUUAUGGAAGAUCCCCUUACCAAGUAAGAUCCGACUUUUCCUAUGGAGAUUAGCACAUCACAGCCUGCCUUGGAGACAAAAGCUAAUUAAGAGAGGAAUGGAGAUUAGUUCUAAAUGCCCUGUUUGUUACAGGUUGGAUGAGGAUGGGGGCCACUGUUUCCUCAAAUGCAAGCAAGUAAAGAAAAUAUGGAGGGCACUACAAAUGGAAGAUAUCAGGCUAUCUCUCGUAAGUUAUCCCAACCCCCAAGAUGUUUUAAUUGAAAUCUUUAAACUAAAAGAAGAGGUAGCUACAAAAAUAUGUAUUAUGUUGUGGUUGUGGUGGCAUGAACGUAAUAAAGCAAAUAGAGGUGAACAAAUUAGAAACUGUGAGGAGGUAGUAAGCUCAAUAGUAUUACAUCAUUUUGAGUUUAUGCAGAUGGUAAAGGAAGACAUGUACACAGGAAAAACCACAACAUCACGGGAAAAAUGGACUCCACCGCCAUCAAGUUACCUGAAAAUAAAUGUUGAUGGAGCUUUC